AUGGAAACUCGCCCAAGCCAGCGCCCUAGGAACCCUGAAGAUAACCCAUAACACAUAACGCCCAGCAUGCAAGUGAUUGUCCUGGCACCACCCACACAAGUGUUAAAUAGGGGUCAGAUUCAGGCCACCCAUUCCUCAGUGCUCAGUGGUCCCAGCUGCCACUCAGGAAGCUCAGUUCCCAGGGAGCAGAUCUGAGAAGCAGUGGUGGAGUCCCCUGAGAUAUUGUCAUUGUGUAGCCAGCAACAGCUGCACAUGACUAGAACACAGCCAGCAAAUGGUGAGCAGCAGGGCUAUCAGGGGAG
Molecule: long non-coding RNA, 302 nt
Filed under: Homo sapiens (human)
Lineage: Eukaryota; Metazoa; Chordata; Mammalia; Primates; Hominidae
Description: HSALNT0152709
Source: RNAcentral